This 69-nucleotide transfer RNA is filed under the name Rattus norvegicus (Norway rat). It matches the Rfam family "tRNA". Rfam says of the family: Transfer RNA (tRNA) molecules are approximately 80 nucleotides in length. Their secondary structure includes four short double-helical elements and three loops (D, anti-codon, and T loops). Lineage: Eukaryota; Metazoa; Chordata; Mammalia; Rodentia; Muridae. The record is from Rfam by way of RNAcentral.
GGGGAUUUAGCUCAGCGGUAGAGCACUUGCCUAACAGGCACAAGGUCCUGGGUUCGGUCCCCAGCUCCG